Molecule: long non-coding RNA, 580 nt
Organism: Chinchilla lanigera (long-tailed chinchilla)
Lineage: Eukaryota; Metazoa; Chordata; Mammalia; Rodentia; Chinchillidae
Exons: 3
Source: RefSeq, a predicted model, not a curated record
AAGAGCAAUCAUUUUUCACUAAAUAGGGCCGGGCAGACAGAUAAACAUGCUGAAAUGUUUCCUUACAACCCAUCUCAAGCAGGGGGAACUGCUCUAAGCCCGCAGCUCACGAGUUCAGGCACCUGAUUAUCAACAACACAAACGAACUGGGCAGGAAGUGGAUGUGACUCUCCCUUUGACUCAUGGGACCGGGAUGGUCCAGGGGCAAGGAGCACAGGCAAGGCUUGACUGCUGGUGAAGACAUCACAGCGUUUCUUGAUGGGCGCUUUUCCCAGAGUGUCCUCCUGCCUCCCAGCCGCAGAGGGCCUUCUUCCUCUGUGUCUGACAGUUUCUUCUCUUUCUCCCUCCUGCUGGAAGCCACUUCAGCAUGAAGAGCAUGGCUCCUCAGAGCACUCCUAAAGCCCAGGGAAGGAGCUGAAGAGACUUCCUGGUCUUGGCCUUGGCCGAGCAGGAGCCUCAGACAUGGAGGCGGACACUGUCACCCAAAGAACUUCUGACACAUCACUCAGCUCCUCAGCCUGGGGUUUAUUGGUUGCUCUGGGAAAGUCUCAAGGUGGGGAGUAAGGAAUAAAUUCUUAAA